RNAcentral lists this ribosomal RNA (253 nucleotides) under uncultured archaeon. RNAcentral describes it as "partial 16S ribosomal RNA". It matches the Rfam family "Archaeal small subunit ribosomal RNA", at positions 474 to 727 of the family's 1478-position model. The record is from RNAcentral.
CACCGGCACCCCGAGUGGUAGCCACUAUUAUUGGGCCUAAAGCAUCCGUAGCCGGCUCUGUAAGUUUUCGGUUAAAUCUGUACGCUCAACGUACAGGCUGCCGGGAAUACUGCAGAGCUAGGGAGUGGGAGAGGUAGACGGUACUCGGUAGGAAGGGGUAAAAUCCUUUGAUCUAUUGAUGACCACCUGUGGCGAAGGCGGUCUACCAGAACACGUCCGACGGUGAGGGAUGAAAGCUGGGGGAGCAAACCGG